CUUGGCAGUGCCCUGGUGUGGACAACACCCUCCUCUUCCUGCCUGGGCUCCGACGAUGGCAACUUUGGUUGUUCCUGUUGUUGCUGUUACCGUUCCUGGCAGAGCUGAUCUAAAAGCCCAGCCGGCGGCUGAGUGAAUAAUGGCAGAGAGUGAGGAGAAGCUGAACAAGGGAUGAUUCCUGUCCCAGGUGGGGAAGAGCAGGACAGGGUGAGAUUUCGUCCUGCUACUCAGAAUGGAACAGAAUCAGAAUGGAUGGGAGUUAUUUGUACAGAGAGUUAUUUGUACAUCCUGCUCUGUACCGGAUCCAGUUCGGAAAGGGGACAAGAACGCUGGGGUGAGCACUUUGCAACCUACUGACACGGAUUUUAUCACUGCCAUCGGGAAGCAAAUGGGCAGAGGGGUAAAAAGAAAACAACCCCAACUGUCCUGUGGACACUCGGUUUCAUUCGACUCUUGUAGCCCUGGUAGAGAAUGUCAGGCAAGGGGGACGUGUAGGGGAACAGAGGGAAGGGAUCCGGUCUAUUCCCAUUCUUCAAAGCUCCUAGGCUAGCAGUCACUGGGGUCAAUGAAAUUGAACUGCAAUCUACAACACUUAUUGAAUACCUGUUUUAUGGUGGGCGUCAUGGCUACAUUGGAAUCCUGUCUUUCUCUCACGCCUCCCUGGAGAAGACUCGGGACCAUCUCUAUGUGGUCGGGAAAGGAGAGACCUUAUGUUUGAAUAGAGGCAAAGACCAAAAAAGUAAUAAUCAGGACAAGUCAUCAAAA
Molecule: long non-coding RNA, 765 nt
Organism: Molossus molossus (Pallas's mastiff bat)
Lineage: Eukaryota; Metazoa; Chordata; Mammalia; Chiroptera; Molossidae
Exons: 4
Source: RefSeq, a predicted model, not a curated record